GUAGGAUGGCUGUUGCCAAAUUAUCGUACGAAGAUGGCAACGAGUUCAAUAGCAAGAUGGCUUUAUCUUCCUCCUCGAUUUUCACUCCGAGGUUGGCAAGCUGUGUGAUUAGUCCGUUAAACACAUUUAAAUGUGACAAAAAAUUCAUACCUUCACCCAUGUGUAGAGCGUAUAACUGCUUCUUCAGGUAUAAUUUAUUUGUCAGCGUUUUGGAUAUGUAUAGGCUUUCCAACCUUGUCCAAAUUCCACGUGCGGUGUCUUCAUCAAUGAUGUUAUUUACCACAUCAUCCGAUAAGUGCAACCUGAUUGCACUAGCAGCUCUUUCAUCCAAGUCAGCCCAAUCCUCAGGUUUCAUGGUAUCAGGAUUUUUGG
Molecule: long non-coding RNA, 372 nt
Filed under: Nicotiana benthamiana
Lineage: Eukaryota; Viridiplantae; Streptophyta; Magnoliopsida; Solanales; Solanaceae
Description: long non-coding RNA (NBEN_LNC022203)
Source: RNAcentral